UUCAGAAAAUUUUUCACUCUGUCUUGCUCUUCUGGGUGUUGGUCACUUUUUGCUCGCAACUUGGCUGUGUUUCACCAACCAUCCUCAUGUUGCAUAUGGUUCUUCUCUUUCCAUCGUUCGAGAGAAACUCUUGUGUCUCGCUUUUCUGGGACUUGUCCAAUUUCGCUUGCUACACCAAGCGUUCACGCAAGCGAUCUUCUCUCGUCCGCUCUUUGUAUCAUCUUGCAGGUACUCCCCGAUAUACGCUAUUAAUGCGGACCGGCAAUAGCGUAUCUCGAAUAUUAGCAAACGUCGAGUUUUCAGUCAAAUUAUAGCUAAUUUUCGUAUAAUUUUGCUUGAAGUGGUAGGAUUAACCACUUAAUUAGUUAUUUGAUCUGAUUCAACUGAAGAUUACAAUUGUACCCCUUUUGAAAUGGCUUUUAAUAUUCGAUCAAAAGGGAAUUUAUUUUGAAUUUGAUAUUCGAUGUGUCAAAUUAGUACAAUUUGCUCAAAGAACUUUCAAAUUUAGAAAAAAAGCUUAUAGCGAAAUCGCGUAUAUCGAGUAUGGCGUAUAUCGGGGAAUACCUGUAUAGCCACCAGAGGAAGGCGCUGCUUCGCGUUCACAUGAAAAUGUGGUAGUGUGAAAUCAAGUUUGCAAGCGGUAGGCUACGUCGAUGCGUGCCCGUUUUUUUCUCUCGUGAAACCAGUACGGAAAAACUAUUUGCAAAUCGUAACACACGCACAAACGGAAGUGAGCACGGACCACGAUAGAAAUAAUUAAUUGGUUGCAGUGCCAAAAACAAAAGGACAGGAGAGGCAGGAACGAUCAUUCAACGCGUUAGCGCCGGACGAAGGAGAAGCGGCAGGAAGGCAGGAACGAUCCUCCAA
This is a long non-coding RNA of Anopheles coluzzii, 867 nucleotides long. RefSeq lists it as uncharacterized. NCBI's taxonomy places the organism in Eukaryota, Metazoa, Arthropoda, Insecta, Diptera, Culicidae. The transcript has 3 exons. The record is from RefSeq and is a predicted model, not a curated record.